This 467-nucleotide ribosomal RNA is filed under the name uncultured bacterium. RNAcentral describes it as "bacterial SSU rRNA". It matches the Rfam family "Bacterial small subunit ribosomal RNA", at positions 329 to 794 of the family's 1533-position model. The record is from RNAcentral.
GCCCAGACUCCUACGGGAGGCAGCAGUGAGGAAUAUUGGUCAAUGGGCGUAAGCCUGAACCAGCCAAGUCGCGUGAGGGACGACGGCCCUACGGGUUGUAAACCUCUUUUGCCGGGGGACAAACGGCGGCACGCGUGCCGUCCUGAGGGUACCCGGAGAAAAAGCAUCGGCUAACUCCGUGCCAGCAGCCGCGGUAAUACGGAGGAUGCGAGCGUUAUCCGGAUUUAUUGGGUUUAAAGGGUGCGUAGGCGGGCUGUUAAGUCAGCGGUAAAAAUUCGGGGCUCAACCCCGUCGUGCCGUUGAAACUGAUGUUCUUGAGUGGGCGAGAAGUAUGCGGAAUGCGUGGUGUAGCGGUGAAAUGCAUAGAUAUCACGCAGAACUCCGAUUGCGAAGGCAGCAUACCGGCGCCCAACUGACGCUGAAGCACGAAAGCGUGGGUAUCGAACAGGAUUAGAUACCCCAGUAAA